GUGGGGAAUCUUGCGCAAUGGGCGAAAGCCUGACGCAGCCAUGCCGCGUGAAUGAUGAAGGUCUUAGGAUUGUAAAAUUCUUUCACCGGGGACGAUAAUGACGGUACCCGGAGAAGAAGCCCCGGCUAACUUCGUGCCAGCAGCCGCGGUAAUACGAAGGGGGCUAGCGUUGCUCGGAAUUACUGGGCGUAAAGGGCGCGUAGGCGGAUCGUUAAGUCAGGGGUGAAAUCCCAGAGCUCAACUCUGGAACUGCCCUUGAUACUGGCGAUCUUGAGUGUGAGAGAGGUAUGUGGAACUCCGAGUGUAGAGGUGAAAUUCGUAGAUAUUCGGAAGAACGCCAGUGGCGAAGGCGACAUACUGGCUCAUUACUGACGCUGAGGCGCGAAAGCGUGGGGAGCAAACAGGAUUAGAAACCCCUGUAGUCC
RNAcentral lists this ribosomal RNA (425 nucleotides) under uncultured bacterium. RNAcentral's name for it is "partial 16S ribosomal RNA". It matches the Rfam family "Bacterial small subunit ribosomal RNA", at positions 354 to 796 of the family's 1533-position model. The record is from RNAcentral.